This 825-nucleotide ribosomal RNA is filed under the name Triticum aestivum (bread wheat). RNAcentral describes it as "partial small subunit ribosomal RNA". Lineage: Eukaryota; Viridiplantae; Streptophyta; Magnoliopsida; Poales; Poaceae. The record is from RNAcentral.
AUGGAGACAAUAAGUAGGACAUUUAAUAGAGUUUUGGCAUGCCUCCUCAGGUUAACACAUGACAUAAUUGUACCUAAGGAUCCAACAUUUUCAGAGGUGCACCCAAACUUAGAAAAUCCAGUAUUCUGGCCACACUUCAAUGACUGCAUAGGAGCUAUAGAUGGGACACAUGUGAAUGUUGUGGUGGAUAAGAGUAAGAGGGUUCCAUACUUGAACAGGCACAAUAAAACCAGUCAGAAUGUGCUUGUUGUUUGUGAUUUCGAAAUGAAAUUUACAUUUGUGAUGUCGGGAUGGCCUGGUUCAGCACAUGACAUGAGAGUUUUCAAAGAUGCCGUAACUACUCAUCAAGACAAAUUUCCACAUCCACCACCAGGGAAGUAUUAUGUGGUUGAUGCGGGAUACCCAAACCGGCCAGGCUACCUUUCACCAUACAAAUGUACAAGGUACCAUGUGCAACAAUGGCAAAAUGGCCCGCCGCCACAAGGUAUGAGAGAAACCUUCAACCAUGCACAUGCCAAAGUUAGGAAUGUCGUUGAGCGAUCCUUUGGAAUGUUGAAGAUGAAAUUUAGGAUUUUAUUGAAGAUGCCAAAAUUUCCAGAGGACAAGCAAAGUAGAAUUAUUGUUGCCUGUAUGGCUCUUCAUAAUUUCAUUCGAGAGAGCAGAAUUGCGGAUAGGGAAUUUGAUGCUUGUGAUGCAGAUGAAAAUUAUAACCCAAUGCCUAGUUCUUCUGCAUCCGCAUGGCCAGAAGACGAACCUCUUGUUGAAGAUAUCAACAUGAAUGCCUUCCGUGAUGAGUUAGCUCAUGCUUUGUUUUAUGGAGUGUAA